GCCGAAGUGGUGGAAUGGUAGACACGCAUGCUUCAGGUGCAUGUGAGGGCAACCUCGUGCUGGUUCAAGUCCAGUCUUCGGCA
This 83-nucleotide transfer RNA is filed under the name Vampirovibrionales bacterium. Its description in RNAcentral is "tRNA-Leu". It matches the Rfam family "tRNA". From Rfam's summary of the family: Transfer RNA (tRNA) molecules are approximately 80 nucleotides in length. The record is from RNAcentral. RNAcentral also lists the same sequence under 4 other names. Lineage: Bacteria; Bacillati; Candidatus Melainabacteria; Vampirovibriophyceae; Vampirovibrionales.